GCAAGUCGAACGAACCCUUCGUGGUUAGUGGCUCACGGGUGCGUAACGCGUGGGAACCUGCCUUUAGGUUCGGAAUAACUCAUAGAAAUUUGAGCUAAUACCGGAUAAUGUCUUCGGACCAAAGAUUUAUCGCCCUUAGAGGGGCCCGCGUUAGAUUAGAUAGUUGGUGGGGUAACGGCCUACCAAGUCGACGAUCUAUAGCUGGUCUGAGAGGAUGAUC
RNAcentral lists this ribosomal RNA (220 nucleotides) under uncultured bacterium. RNAcentral describes it as "partial 16S ribosomal RNA". It matches the Rfam family "Bacterial small subunit ribosomal RNA", at positions 57 to 305 of the family's 1533-position model. The record is from RNAcentral.